Molecule: ribosomal RNA, 442 nt
Filed under: uncultured bacterium
Lineage: Bacteria
Description: partial 16S ribosomal RNA
Rfam family: Bacterial small subunit ribosomal RNA
Source: RNAcentral
CCUACGGGUGGCAGCAGUGGGGAAUAUUGGGCAAUGGGCGCAAGCCUGACCCAGCAACGCCGCGUGAAGGAAGAAGGCUUUCGGGUUGUAAACUUCUUUUGAUAGGGAAGUGCAGAAGACGGUACCUGCCGAAUAAGCCAUGGCUAACUACGGGCCAGCAGCCGCGGUAAUACGUAGGUGGCAAGCGUUAUCCGGAUUUACUGGGUGUAAAGGGAGUGUAGGCGGGAAAGCAAGUCAGAUGUGAAAAUCAUGGGCUCAACCUGUGGCCUGCAUUUGAAACUGUUUGUCUUGAGUACUGGAGAGGCAGACGGAAUUCGUGGUGUAGCGGUGAAAUGCGUAGAUAUUAGGAAGAACACCGGUGGCGAAGGCAGUCUGCUGAACAGCAACUGACGCUGAGGCGCGAAAGCGUGGGGAGCAAACAGGAUUAGAUACCCCAGUAGUC